This 1541-nucleotide unclassified non-coding RNA is filed under the name Rhagoletis pomonella (apple maggot). RNAcentral describes it as "protein ANTAGONIST OF LIKE HETEROCHROMATIN PROTEIN 1- like, transcript variant X2". Lineage: Eukaryota; Metazoa; Arthropoda; Insecta; Diptera; Tephritidae. The record is from RNAcentral.
CGCCAAAUUUUAUCAAUUGGCGUAAAUUUGGUUCCUAAGACAACAGAACAAUGGUUAGAGGUGCAAAAGGAUUUUAACGAUAAGUGGCAGUUCCCUUUCUGUUGUGGCGCUAUUGACGGGAAGCACGUUGUAAUAGAUAACCCACCGCAUGGAGCAUCGGAUUACUACAAUUACAAGGGUACUUACAGCGUGGUGCUAUUCGCCAUAGUCGAUGCACACUACCGUUUUUUAUAUAUUGAUGUCGGUACGAAUGGGCGCAUGAAUGACGCAAGCAUUUUGAAGAAGUCCCGAUUUUAUAAAGAACUGCAGGAGGAUGAGUUGGGAUUACCAACUAAGGGUGUCUUCGUUGGCGAUGACGCGUUCCCCUUAACAACGAGGAUCUUGAAGCCGUAUUCCAGGCAUGAUGCAUUGCCUCACAAGGAAAAGAUUUUCAAUUACCGGCUGUCGAGAGCUAGACGGAUUGUUGAAAAUGCCUUUGGAAUAAUGGCUUGUAGAUUUCGAGUUUUUCGAAAGCCUAUAUCUGUGUCCCUAGACAAAACCGACAGCAUAAUUAAAACGGCAUGCGCACUCCAUAAUUGGCUCCGGACAAGCAAUUUAAAUGAAACUGGCUUAGUCGAUCAGGAAGACAUAAACACAGGAGCAGUUCAGCAAGGAAGUUGGAGAAGCAUUCCUUCAGGGGGCUUACAAGAACUAACGACGCAAUUGUCUUCAAACAACUACUCGAGAAGUGCAAAGGAACUUCGCGAUAAAUUCGCUAACUAUUUUGUAGGGUCAGGAGCUGUUCCUUGGCAAGACAAAAUGGUUUGUUAAGCCAUUAAGUUGUUCUUUUGUUUGUUAGUUUUCUAACUAAACUUGACUAAAUCUAAACUUGACUAAAUCUAAACUUGACUAAAUGUAAACUUAUUCACAUUAUAUGCAUUAAAAAUUGAAACUGGAAAACUAAAUAUUUAGUUUAAUUUUCAUAUGUUGAUAAAAUCACGAAGAGUAUCAUUUCUUUCUAAUCAAGGUUCGUAUAUUUAUGCAUAAGCGCAUGAAUCAAAAUAUAAAUCAAUGCUGAGUUGAAACUCGGCACAAUUUUUCUUUAAAAGCUCCACAUGUAAAUGUGUUGUAAUCUUUGGUGGCGGUGCAGGGUUCUCAUGUCAAAUGUCAAAACGAAGUUACUAUAAAUAAAACCUUGAUGCAAUAAUGAAAGGUGUUAUAGGUUGGUUUUGCAUUUAUUAGGCCAUUUCCUUACUGUUUCCUGGCCGACCUGUGCUGGUAUUGUGAUUAAGAGCUAAUACACCAUCCUCUGGGGAACUGCAGCUGCAGCCGAAUUUGAUUGUGUGCACCAUCGUGCAGAUGAAUUUUUCCUGUUGCGCCUUUGUGCGCGUUGGAGUAAGUUGCAAACCAUUGGAGACGGUUAAGGUGUGUCGGACAGGGGCCAAAGUUAAGAUUCCUCUAUGGAGACUCAAAAAAUUAAUAUUAUUGUUUUCAUCUAGUACCUAAAAUCGCUACUACUAUAGCGACUCCAAUCGGGACCAAAAUUUAUAUGUGCUACCAAA